Molecule: ribosomal RNA, 439 nt
Filed under: Clostridioides difficile
Lineage: Bacteria; Bacillati; Bacillota; Clostridia; Peptostreptococcales; Peptostreptococcaceae
Description: bacterial SSU rRNA
Rfam family: Bacterial small subunit ribosomal RNA
Source: RNAcentral
UGGGUUAAGUCCCGCAACGAGCGCAACCCUUGUCUUUAGUUGCCAUCAUUAAGUUGGGCACUCUAGAGAGACUGCCAGGGAUAACCUGGAGGAAGGUGGGGAUGACGUCAAAUCAUCAUGCCCCUUAUGCCUAGGGCUACACACGUGCUACAAUGGGUGGUACAGAGGGCAGCCAAGCCGUGAGGUGGAGCAAAUCCCUUAAAGCCAUUCUCAGUUCGGAUUGUAGGCUGAAACUCGCCUACAUGAAGCUGGAGUUACUAGUAAUCGCAGAUCAGAAUGCUGCGGUGAAUGCGUUCCCGGGUCUUGUACACACCGCCCGUCACACCAUGGGAGUUGGAGACACCCGAAGCCGACUAUCUAACCUUUUGGGAGAAGUCGUCGAAGGUGGAAUCAAUAACUGGGGUGAAGUCGUAACAAGGUAGCCGUAUCGGAAGGUGCG